RNAcentral lists this ribosomal RNA (416 nucleotides) under uncultured bacterium. RNAcentral's name for it is "bacterial SSU rRNA". It matches the Rfam family "Bacterial small subunit ribosomal RNA", at positions 11 to 416 of the family's 1533-position model. The record is from RNAcentral.
GUUUGAUCCUGGCUCAGAGCGAACGUUAGCGGCGCGCCUAACACAUGCAAGUCGCACGAGAAAGGGGCAACCCCGGUACAGUGGCGCACGGGUGAGUAACACGUGGGUGAUCUGCCCAGAAGAAGGGGAUAACCUCUCGAAAGGGGGGCUAAUACCGCAUAGGACCACCGGGGCUUUGGCUCUGUGGUGAAAGGGGGCCUCUGUUUACAAGCUCCUGCUUCUGGAUGAGCCCGCGUCCCAUCAGCUAGUUGGUAGGGUAAUGGCCUACCAAGGCUACGACGGGUAGCUGGUCUAAGAGGAUGGCCAGCCACACUGGAACUGAGACACGGUCCAGACUCCUACGGGAGGCAGCAGUGGGGAAUCUUGCGCAAUGGGCGAAAGCCUGACGCAGCGACGCCGCGUGGGUGACGAAGGCC